GUACACGGUGGAUGCCCUGGCAGUCAGAGGCGAUGAAGGACGUGCUAAUCUGCGAAAAGCGACGGCGAGGUGAUAUGAACCUUUGACCCGUCGAUGUCCGAAUGGGGAAACCCAGUGUGUUUCGACACACUAUCGUUAACUGAAUACAUAGGUUAACGAGGCGAACCGGGGGAACUGAAACAUCUAAGUACCCCGAGGAAAAGAAAUCAACCGAGAUUCCCCCAGUAGCGGCGAGCGAACGGGGAGCAGCCCGGAGUCUGAAUCAGCUUGUGUGUUAGUGGAACGGUCUGGAAAGUCCGACGGUACAGGGUGAUAGUCCCGUACACGAAAAUGCACAUGCUGUGAACUCGAAGAGUAGGGCGGGACACGUGGUAUCCUGUCUGAAUAUGGGGGGACCAUCCUCCAAGGCUAAAUACUCCUGACUGACCGAUAGUGAACCAGUACCGUGAGGGAAAGGCGAAAAGAACCCCGGCGAGGGGAGUGAAAAAGAACCUGAAACCGUGUACGUACAAGCAGUGGGAGCACCUUCGGGUGUGACUGCGUACC
This 546-nucleotide ribosomal RNA is filed under the name uncultured bacterium. Its description in RNAcentral is "bacterial LSU rRNA". It matches the Rfam family "Bacterial large subunit ribosomal RNA", at positions 17 to 605 of the family's 2925-position model. The record is from RNAcentral.